UUUAUCGGUUAUUUGAAAGAAUUUAUUUUUAUCUUUUUGAUCGAGAAAUUGUAGCUUGAAAUUACUAGACGACCAAAAUUUCUUGAUUGCUUUGACCAAGAAUGAUUGCUAGCUGAGUUGGGAGAGCGCUUAGAAACUGUGAAGCCAAAAUAUGAGGAUACCCUUAGGGGUUAUUUGGCCCUCACUUCGGAAUCAAGUGGGCUUGACAUUUAAUGCCAAGCUCAUGUUUGGUCCACAAUUUGAAAGCAAGGGAUUAACAAAGAGUGUAAAUUGGGGGUUUCAAUAUUUUUACAAAAUAAAAAAGAAAAAAAAAUCUCUAUUGUCUUUCUUCCAGAUCUCUCAUCGUCUCUCUCUCCAUCUUUUAUUCAUGUUCUCAUUCAAACCCUAGGUUCUUCUUCUUCUCUACGUCUUUUCAUCUCCUCAUUUUUCUCUUCUUUCGUCAAGAAUCUUUCGGCGGAGGUCUUCUUUUCUUUUUCUCAUACAAAGAAGCAACCGUAAGAGAUGCUUUUUUUGGCGGUUGAAAUCAGAUUCCGGCAGAGGAAAGUCGAAUCCCCACAGAGAAAAGACAGAUUUAUUCGCGGGUGAGAAAGGUGGAUAUGCUUGAAGGAGUUUCAAUUACCCGAUCUGAAAAAGUGAAGGAUGAGUUAAUUUUGGAUGGAAAUGAUAUUGAACUUGUGUUGCGGUCUUGUGCACUUAUUAACUGGAUUUUUCUUCUUCACUCUCACAUACAAAGUUCAUUGCACACUCAAAUCAUUCAGUGAAUUAUUCUUCUUUGCCUUAUUUUGCUGAAAUGUCAUGUCAAGAACAAGGAUAUACGGAAGUUCCUUGAUGGUAUCUAUGUCAGCCAGAAGGGAACCAUAGUUGGAGUAGAUGAGUGAUUAAUGCAAUUGUAGGUUAUAUCUGCACUUAGUUUCAAGAGUUUGUUCUCUUCCGAAAUUGUUUCUUUUUUUCAUAACUAAUAGAUGUAAGACACUUGUUGAAAUGAGCUCACAGACUACACAAGAUAUUGAGGAAGAUGACAUGAACAUUAAUCUUGAAGACUUUGAUAUUCCAAAUCCACAUGGACUCGAGCCACCUUCGGGGGAGGACAUGCCAUCCACUCCAACAAGUAUGGCACAUGAUGCAGGAUCAUCUAGGCCAAGAAAGAAAAGACGGUCAUAUUCAGGGGACCUCGUGGACACAUUUCGCACAAGUAUGCAAGAAACUUCCAAGGAAAUUGGAAAGAUUGUUGCAUGGUAGAGAGAAAAAAUGGAAAUAGAAUCAUCCCUACACAAACGAUUAUAUGCUGAAUUACAGACUAUUCCUAGAAUGGACGUGGACGAUUAUUUAAUUGUAGUCUAGUAUCUAUUACCUGAUCCCAUUAUGUUGCACGCAUUCCAUGACUACCCAGUAGAAUGGAAGUACAAAAAAUGCUUGCGUAUCUUAGGAAGGCAACCAUAACCAUAGCUAAAUGUAACUUUACUUGACUUUAAUUCACUUUUGUUUGACCCA
Cucumis melo (muskmelon) is the source of this 1491-nucleotide long non-coding RNA. RefSeq lists it as uncharacterized. Lineage: Eukaryota; Viridiplantae; Streptophyta; Magnoliopsida; Cucurbitales; Cucurbitaceae. The transcript is spliced from 2 exons. The record is from RefSeq and is a predicted model, not a curated record.